GACGAACGCUGGCGGCGUGCUUAACACAUGCAAGUCGAACGGAAAGGCCCUGCUUUUGUGGGGUGCUCGAGUGGCGAACGGGUGAGUAACACGUGAGUAACCUGCCCUUGACUUUGGGAUAACUUCAGGAAACUGGGGCUAAUACCGGAUAGGAGCUCCUGCUGCAUGGUGGGGGUCGGAAAGUUUCGGCGGUUGGGGAUGGACUCGCGGCUUAUCAGCUUGUUGGUGGGGUAGUGGCUUACCAAGGCUUUGACGGGUAGCCGGCCUGAGAGGGUGACCGGCCACAUUGGGACUGAGAUACGGCCCAGACUCCUACGGGAGGCAGCUGUGGGGAAUAUUGCACAAUGGGCGGAAGCCUGAUGCAGCAACGCCGCGUGCGGGAUGACGGCCUUCGGGUUGUAAACCGCUUUCGCCUGUGACGAAGCGUGAGUGACGGUAAUGGGUAAAGAAGCACCGGCUAACUACGUG
Molecule: ribosomal RNA, 468 nt
Filed under: uncultured bacterium
Lineage: Bacteria
Description: partial 16S ribosomal RNA
Rfam family: Bacterial small subunit ribosomal RNA
Source: RNAcentral